Molecule: long non-coding RNA, 463 nt
Filed under: Numida meleagris (helmeted guineafowl)
Lineage: Eukaryota; Metazoa; Chordata; Aves; Galliformes; Numididae
Description: lncRNA (ENSNMEG00000018606.1)
Source: RNAcentral
CCUGCCUCAGGGCUAAAUACCCCAAAGAGGAGGUGAGGAGAAAAGCGCGAGGCUGGAACUUCGAGGUAGUGGAAAGUGGUGUAGGCACGGCGGGUGUUAGCAGCGGGAAGCGGAGCUGCGCCUGAGGAGGGGCCCCGCGCUGCGAGCGCGGGUAUCCUGGGGCAGCUGCGACGCGAGGGAAGGAGCCGCGCUGCAGCAGGGGACGGGCGUGACGAGGGCGGAGUGGUGGGGAGGCACGGCCGCGUGCUGACCCAGUCCAAAGCAAUGGGGAGGUCACCAUGGAGGUCAGUCUGCAGUGCUCCUGAGAUGUCAGUUAGCAGAUGUUGCACCUAGUGAUCCUCCCUGCACUCCUGUGACGAACUGCUUUUCAGCCUAAUUGGAAGUAUUUAGGCCCAAAACUUGUUGCCAUUACUACAAAAUCAUUCAGGAAGCUUGACAAUCUCCAUGGCAACUGGCCUACGUA